UGUUUUUAAACUUUAUCAGGUUCUUCUAACCAAGAUAUAAAGGGCUUUCCUUCUCCAUAACUUUUGUUUUCAAACCAAAAUAAAGUCAGGUAGGAAAUGCACAAAGGCGUACAUAAAUCUCAGCUAGUAGCCAACCCUGUGAGCCAACAGCCGUUUUGGGAAUUACUCUGAAAACAAAUCAAAUCAUGGCUGACUGCAGCCAUUCUCAACCUUAGCUCCUCAAUGAUUUAGCACCUUCUGUGAAGGUCCACACAAUUAAAAGCAGCCUGUUUAUGGACUGCUUAUCUGCACAGGACCAGGCUGAAAAAGAGAGAGAGGGAGAGAGAGAGAGAGACCGACAGACAGACAGACAGACACAGUGUGAGAGAGAAAGAUGUACCCAGGGUGGGAGGCAGAGAAAAUGUGUAUAAAAGUUGGAUGUGAUUCAGUUCCUCAACUUGUCUACCUUUAAAAAAAAUUACAAAAUAAGGGCAAUUUUUACCAUUUGUUAAAGAGAAAGAUGUACAAGCCACUUAUAAAAAGAGUAGAGCUUCAAGAGACUGAAAAAAAGGGACAUAAAACCAGCGUCUUAUUGCGCAGUUUGAGCGGGAUGUUUACAGCCUUUGAAAGCAUCUUGCCCAUCAAAGGGACGAUGCCUGUCGUCUCCUCAGGAGGGCUCUCCAACGCUAGUCGCCGUAGGUUGCGCUUCCCUUCCCCUAGGAACUGAUAGGAAGAACUGCAGCAGGGACGGUCCUCCUACGACAGCACCCUAUGCACGGUAGUUCUCAGCUUGUGUUCACUGCUUACAUCUCCUUUGCCUUCGGGCACAGAACGAACAGCCUUGCCUCCAGCGCAGGUCUCCAGGACACGCUAAUCGCUGCUGCUCUCCUUGCCGGCUGUCCGCGACACUGACCCCGCCCCUUUCUGUCGAUUACAUCCCUCUGCCUUCAGCUUCUACAGAAUUGCUGCCUAUCCACUCUGUGUCAGCACAGGACGACCGUCGUGUUCCCUCAUGGAGUUUACGGAACAAACGAGGAGGCCUAUUUACAUAGGUCUGCUCUUUAAACAAAGAAGCAUGUACAACCCAUGGAUUUGAGCCGGGUGUUGAGGCCCACCCUUUCAGCCCCAGGUACUCAGAAGGCUGAAGCGGGAAGAUUUCCUUACUUGAGCACCUGAGUUUAAGACCAACCUGAGCAACAUUGCAAGGACUCUCCAUCAAUCAAUAAAAAUCCCCAAACAA
Chinchilla lanigera (long-tailed chinchilla) is the source of this 1219-nucleotide long non-coding RNA. RefSeq lists it as uncharacterized. The record is from RefSeq and is a predicted model, not a curated record. Lineage: Eukaryota; Metazoa; Chordata; Mammalia; Rodentia; Chinchillidae. The transcript is spliced from 2 exons.